Molecule: long non-coding RNA, 408 nt
Filed under: Rhinopithecus roxellana (golden snub-nosed monkey)
Lineage: Eukaryota; Metazoa; Chordata; Mammalia; Primates; Cercopithecidae
Description: lncRNA (ENSRROG00000046091.1)
Source: RNAcentral
CUUUGCUCCAGUUUCCAGUAAGUUCCUCAUCUCCAUUUGAGACCAACUCAGCCUGGACCUUACUGUUCAUAUCAUUGUCAGCAUUUUUGUCAAAGCCAUUCAACAAAUCUCUAGGAGUUCCAAACUUUCCAACAUUUUUAUGUCUUCUGAGUCCUCCAAACUAUUCCAGCCUCUGCCUGUUAACCAGUUCCGAAGGAGUUCCCCGACUGCUUGUGCUUCCCAGGAAAGGCUCUCCCAUUUUAUUCCUGGAAAGAAUUGAAUGGCCUCAUUCUCAUUCAGAGUUCUAUCUGAUUUAUAAGGUCUGUAAAAUAAAAAAAAAAAGACACUUUAGGUUGAGACCAUUUAAGUUAUACUUUGAUAUGUAGAAGAACAAGAUUAAGGAGUAAAACCUUUCAGCAAAAAUUUAUC